This 140-nucleotide small RNA is filed under the name Arabidopsis thaliana (thale cress). Its description in RNAcentral is "ATSL041220". The record is from RNAcentral. Lineage: Eukaryota; Viridiplantae; Streptophyta; Magnoliopsida; Brassicales; Brassicaceae.
GAUUUCAUGUGUAUGAUUGAGUAUAAGAAGUAGAACCGCAAUCGGUUCCCAAAAGCUAAAGUAGUGUUUCCUUGUUAGAAGAUACAAAGCCAAAAACUCAUACAGACUUUGGCUACACCAUCAAAGCUUUGAGAAGCAAU